UUCCGUAGGUGAACCUGCGGAAGGAUCAUUACUGAGUGAGGGUUCCUUCGGGGCCCAACCUCCCACCCUUGUAUACUGUACCAAGUUGCUUCGGCGGGCCCGCCGUUCGCGCGGCCGCCGGGGGGGAACCCCUCCCCCCGGGCGAGCGCCCGCCGGAGACCCCAACGUGAACACUGUCUGAAGUUUUGUCGUCUGAGUUCGAUUGUAUCGCAAUCAGUUAAAACUUUCAACAAUGGAUCUCUUGGUUCCGGCAUCGAUGAAGAACGCAGCGAAAUGCGAUAAUUAAUGUGAAUUGCAGAAUUCAGUGAAUCAUCGAGUCUUUGAACGCACAUUGCACCCCCUGGUAUUCCGGGGGGUAUGCCUGUCCGAGCGUCAUUGCUGCCCUCAAGCCCGGCUUGUGUGUUGGGUCCUCGUCCCCCCCGGGGGACGGGCCCGAAAGGCAGCGGCGGCACCGCGUCCGGUCCUCGAGCGUAUGGGGCUUUGUCACACCGCUCUCGUAGGCCCGGCCGGCGCUGGCCGACGCUGAAAAGCAACCAUUAUUUCUCCAGGUUGACCUCGGAUCAGGUAGGGAUACCCGCUGAACUAA
This 586-nucleotide ribosomal RNA is filed under the name fungal sp. CF07002. Its description in RNAcentral is "eukaryotic LSU rRNA". The stretch from base 222 to 375 matches the Rfam family "5.8S ribosomal RNA". Lineage: Eukaryota; Fungi. The record is from RNAcentral.